Brassica napus (rape) is the source of this 771-nucleotide long non-coding RNA. RefSeq lists it as uncharacterized. The transcript has 2 exons. The record is from RefSeq and is a predicted model, not a curated record. NCBI's taxonomy places the organism in Eukaryota, Viridiplantae, Streptophyta, Magnoliopsida, Brassicales, Brassicaceae.
UCAUCCUUCCCUCGAUACGAAGACUGUUUCUUUUGUCCAGGCCCAUUUGCUUAUGUGUCUGAGCCAACAUUAAACUCACCAUAGAUAACUAAGCGAUCCUUUUUCAUCCCGAUAAAGCACCUCCAAUUGAUUUUCUGUAACGCAUUCGAUUCUCACUAAUUUCUUGCAUUAACAUCUUCAUCCCACUCCCCCUCACUCUGUAUCAUUAUUGGAGCUCAGUAUAAAUUUGCAUGGCUACAACGAUGAAGAAGGCCAUAUCUACAAAAUCUAUCACUAUCUCUGCUAAUUACCAGCUCCUACAGUGGCGAAUUCCUUUCUCUGGUUGCUGAUUUAGAAGCUGGGUCGCUGUUUCGGAGAUCCAUCUUCUGAGGUUUUGGGAGGCUCGGAUUGGUCUCAAGAUGUGGAUGCUCUAGCUCCCUCAUUCUUCAGCGGCAAAGACAAAUCUCUAGGCUCUCUCUCUUUCUCUCUCGAUAUUUUUCCACCAGAUUGGGUUUUUGUGUAACUUUUAUUGUCUUUUGUGUGUAUGUACAAGAAAUUUGAGCAACAAGAUCCGGAAGCAAUCAAGCCUUGGAGAGCAAAGCUAGAAGUAAGGUUCGCUGGGACCGCUACCAAUAGUGGUGGACGGCGAUGACAGACGAAGGAGAAGGGAUAACAUCGUCACAAUUAUAUUUCACAUGAUUCACCACUACCUAACCUCCCAUCAAGAUCGACGGUGAUAAGAUAUUAUGCAUGAAUUCCUUUCUCCUGAUUUGAUAACGGUGGAACAGAUUA